RNAcentral lists this ribosomal RNA (305 nucleotides) under uncultured bacterium. RNAcentral describes it as "partial 16S ribosomal RNA". It matches the Rfam family "Bacterial small subunit ribosomal RNA", at positions 337 to 642 of the family's 1533-position model. The record is from RNAcentral.
UCCUACGGGGGGCAGCAGUGGGGAAUAUUGCACAAUGGGGGAAACCCUGAUGCAGCGACGCCGCGUGAGUGAAGAAGUAUUUCGGUACGUAAAGCUCUAUCAGCAGGGAAGAAAAAAAGUCCUUUGGACUUUGGACGGUACCUGACCAAGAAGCCCCGGCUAACUACGUGCCAGCAGCCGCGGUAAUACGUAGGGGGCAAGCGUUAUCCGGAUUUACUGGGUGUAAAGGGAGCAUAGGCGGCUGUGUAAGCCAGAAGUGAAAGCCCGAGGCUCAACCACGGGACUGCUUUUGGAACUACAUGGCU